This 440-nucleotide ribosomal RNA is filed under the name uncultured bacterium. RNAcentral describes it as "partial 16S ribosomal RNA". It matches the Rfam family "Bacterial small subunit ribosomal RNA", at positions 338 to 795 of the family's 1533-position model. The record is from RNAcentral.
CCUACGGGAGGCAGCAGUGGGGAAUAUUGGACAAUGGGGGAAACCCUGAUCCAGCGACGCCGCGUGAGUGAAGAAGUAUUUCGGUACGUAAAGCUCUAUCAGCAGGGAAGAAAAUGACGGUACCUGACUAAGAAGCCACGGCUAACUACGUGCCAGCAGCCGCGGUAACACGUAGGGGGCAAGCGUUAUCCGGAUUUACUGGGUGUAAGGGGAGCGUAGACGGCAGCGCAAGUCUGGAGUGAAAUGCCGGGGCCCAACCCCGGAACUGCUCUGGAAACUGUGAAGCUGGAGUGCAGGAGAGGUAGGCGGAAUUCCUGGUGUAGCGGUGAAAUGCGUAGAUAUCAGGCGGAACCCCGGCGGCGAAGGCGGCUUACUGGACUGUAACUGACGUUGAGGCUCGAAGGCGUGGGGAGCAAACAGGAUUAGAUACCCUUGUAGUC